Molecule: unclassified non-coding RNA, 3165 nt
Filed under: Drosophila mojavensis
Lineage: Eukaryota; Metazoa; Arthropoda; Insecta; Diptera; Drosophilidae
Description: GI16872
Source: RNAcentral
CUACUCCCCAUUUUUGUAAAUCGCCAAAUGAAAAUUAAAAAAAACUUCGUACCUUUAAUUUAAUGCAAUAAUAUGUGCAAUUUGAAGCAUGCCGAUUCAGGCGCCCUCAUGGACAGACUUUCUCAACUGUCCCAUCUGCUGCAAUGAGUUUGAAGCCAGCCAGCGUGUGCCGAUCAGCCUCGGCUGUGGCCACACUAUAUGCAAGCCCUGUCUGACCACACUCUACAAUCGGCAAUGUCCCUAUGAUCAGACUCUAAUUGUGACGGACAUCAACAAUUUGCCCUUUAACUAUGCGUUACUGCAACUGGUGGGCAAUGGAAAUGGAAACGGAAAUGGAAAUGGAAAUGGCAAUGGCAGCAGUGGAAGUGGUGCAGUUGGUGAUAAACGCGUGUCCAACAAGGAGGUGCAGCUGGCAGAUUUGGCGCCAAGUGUGCUUAAGCUGCAGCCGGAGGAGCUCAAGUGCUAUAAGCUGGGCAAGAAAUGCAUCGAAGAGUUGGCCCUGCAUUUAAAGUCGUUUUUGAAUUUGAAUAGCAGUAAUUUACUAACCAGGCCCAUGCAACGCAAACUGGUCACUCUUGUCAAUUGCCAGCUAAUGGAGGAGGAAGGUCGUGUUCGUGCCUUGCGAGCUGCUCGUUCCUUGGGCGAACGUACCGUAACCGAGCUGAUUCUACAGCAUCAGAAUCCACAGCAGCUCAGCUCGAAUUUGUGGGCAGCGGUGCGAACGCGAGGAUGUCAGUUCCUAGGUCCUGCCAUGCAAGAGGAGGUACUCAAGCUCGUUUUGCUCGCUUUGGAAGAGGGCUCUGCGCUAUCUCGCAAGGUGUUGGUCAUGUUUGUGGUGCAGCGGCUGGAGCCGCACUUCCCGCAAGCCUCGAAGACAAGCAUUGGUCAUGUGGUGCAGCUGCUCUACCGCGCUAGCUGCUUUAAGGUGUCCAAGCGCGAGGCAGACUCUUCCCUGAUGCAGCUCAAGGAGGAGUUUCGCACCUACGAUGCACUGAGACGUGAACACGAUGCACAGAUUGUACAAAUAGCCACAGAGGCUGGCCUACGGAUUGCUCCCGAGCAAUGGUCUUCGCUGUUGUACGGCGACAUACAACACAAAUCCCACAUGCAGAGCAUCAUUGACAAGCUGCAGACGCCGUCCGCCUUUGCACAGUCCGUGCAGGAGCUGGUGAUUGCACUGCAGCGCACCAGCGAUCCGGCCAAGCUGGCGCUUUUGCACACUCAUCUGCAAUACUUGGCCAGCAUUGAUCCGUGCGUAGAGACAGCGGCCUGGGAGGAUGUGUCGAAAGCUUUGGACGCUGUACGGCAUGCUGUAAUGGGCCUGGUUCAGUACUUGCAGCACCAUGGCGUACGCAAGCCGCAGGACAGUAAUCUCGCGGGUGGAUCUGCGAACAACAACAACACCAAGUACAAAAUUAGUCUGUGCCGCGAUCUCAAUAAUCGACGCGUUUGUCCACGGGGAGCCAGCUGCACAUUUGCCCAUUCGCAGGAGGAAGUGGAGCGCUAUCGAGCACGCAAUCGUGGAAAGCAUAUUAAGUCACCCAUGAACAUGGCAAUGCCCAACAUGCCACCAGGCAAUAAGAAGCCGUUGCCGUUGGCCAGCGAAGUGCCCACUGGUGCCAUGCUGCCCAUAUCGCCCAUACGCUAUAUGCAACCACCGCCACCAGCACCGCCUGCUCGCGGCUUUCUCGAUCCCAAUUGCAAUAUGCCACCAGCGGCACACAAUCUAUCGCCUGGUGCCGUACAUCCACAGAUGCUAAGUGCGCACCACAGUCCCAUGGGGCGACAGCAGCAGCAGCAGCCACAUACGGCGCUCAACGGACUGCUGGUGCCACCACCCCCACCCCCCUUGGGAUACGAGCAACGCUUUAACUUUGCACCACCGCCACGCAAUGCAGCGCGUAUCAACCCACCGAACUACAAUAGCAACAGCAACAACAGCAGCAACAGCAACCACAGCAACAACAAUAACCUACAUAAUCACAAGAGCUUCUGCAGCAUGCUUCCAGCGGAUGUUUAUCAUGCGCCCUACUUUGGCAACGAGGCCAAAGGCAACGUCGAGAUGUCACAAAAACUAGGCGGCAAUAAUCCAUGGGAGCAUCCAUAUAUGCCGACGCUAGUGCCGCCACCGCCGCCGCCGUCCAGCAAAAAUCCCAGUCGAGUUAUGUCGACGAUUUCACAUGCAACAGCUGAUACCUCAUUUUAUGAAAAGAAACCGCCGAGUACUGUUAACAUUGAGCCGUUGGCCGAGGGUGCAGUGAAUAGCGAAUCCAUGCCAUUGUUUAGGCCCAGCAACACCGGCAGCACCAACAAUAGCAACAACAACUGCAGCACCAACAACAACAACUCAUUGAUAUUCUGGAAUAACAGCAACAAGGAUUCGGCGAACUUUGUGCGUUCCGAUUCCAUAUUGGAUGACGAUGCGUCCACGUUUGAUGUGCCCAGCGGGUCAUCGAUAAACAGCCGCUAUGGUCCCAUUUGUCCCAAACGCAAUGUGACAAACAAUUGGAACAACUGGCUCGUGGAGAAUGAGACGAAAAACAAUAAUGAGUUCCUCAGCGAGAAGAGCACUAGCUAUGCAGGAUUUGAGCCCAAGCCAGGCUAUAAACCAGAGCACAAUGACAACACCAAUGCCAAUAAGAACGUCGCUGGACGUGAUAGCGUGUUCCUUUGGAAUAGCGAACUGAAUGCGAAUGUCAGCAGCCCGGCGAGCAAUUAUUGGAACAGCAGCACAAGCAGCGCGCCAACGGAAAGACUGAAGCAGCAGGAUAGGAAGCCAGUGCUGAUGUCCGAGGAUAGCGUGGAGGGUGGCAUCGAUAGCGGCAUGAUGAGCGAGCUGGAAAAGAAGCUAGUGGACAUUGUGGAGGUCUGGUCAAAUCCGGAUGAUAGCGGCAUAAAGCUGGACUAGGCCAAGGAUAUAAAUAUAUAUAUAUAACAAAACAUCGUUCGUUCGAAUGAUCGAUGGAGUGGAAACAUAAUGCAAUCAUUUUACAAAAUGUCAUAUAGAGGACAUUACGACAGUUAAAGGUUGAUCAUUAUUCGAUCGGUCCAUGAAGUAAGAUGAGACGUAACAGGAACAGAAACAGAACAUAACAAAAGGAAAAAAAUUCAAGAACAUUUGGGUAGGGGAAAUUAGAAUUUUAAUUAUAUAAUUGUCUAUUUAAA